RNAcentral lists this ribosomal RNA (97 nucleotides) under uncultured bacterium. RNAcentral's name for it is "partial 16S ribosomal RNA". The record is from RNAcentral.
CAACUUCGCGAGGGCGUUUUACACGGUGUGCUUCAUGACUGGGGUAAAGUCGUAACCAGGUAGCCGUAGGGGUAACCUGUGGCUGGAUCACCUCCUG